RNAcentral lists this ribosomal RNA (253 nucleotides) under uncultured bacterium. RNAcentral describes it as "partial 16S ribosomal RNA". It matches the Rfam family "Bacterial small subunit ribosomal RNA", at positions 524 to 776 of the family's 1533-position model. The record is from RNAcentral.
UACGGAGGGGGCCAGCGUUGUUCGGAAUUAUUGGGCGUAAAGGGCGCGUAGGUGGCCAUGCAAGUCGGAGGUGAAAUCCCUCGGCCCAACUGAGGAACUGCCUCCGAUACUGCAUGGCUUGAGUCCCGGAGAGGGUGGUGGAAUUCCCAGUGUAGCGGUGAAAUGCGUAGAUAUUGGGAGGAACACCAGUGGCGAAGGCGACUUCCUGGCCUGUUCUUGACGCUGAGGCGCGAAAGCUAGGGUAGCAAACGGG